This 484-nucleotide ribosomal RNA is filed under the name uncultured bacterium. RNAcentral's name for it is "partial 16S ribosomal RNA". It matches the Rfam family "Bacterial small subunit ribosomal RNA", at positions 30 to 507 of the family's 1533-position model. The record is from RNAcentral.
AUUGAACGCUGGCGGCAGGCCUAACACAUGCAAGUCGAGCGGAUGAAGGGAGCUUGCUCCUGGAUUCAGCGGCGGACGGGUGAGUAAUGCCUAGGAAUCUGCCUGGUAGUGGGGGAUAACGUCCGGAAACGGGCGCUAAUACCGCAUACGUCCUGAGGGAGAAAGUGGGGGAUCUUCGGACCUCACGCUAUCAGAUGAGCCUAGGUCGGAUUAGCUAGUUGGUGGGGUAAAGGCCUACCAAGGCGACGAUCCGUAACUGGUCUGAGAGGAUGAUCAGUCACACUGGAACUGAGACACGGUCCAGAGUCCUACGGGAGGCAGCAGUGGGGAAUAUUGGACAAUGGGCGAAAGCCUGAUCCAGCCAUGCCGCGUGUGUGAAGAAGGUCUUCGGAUUGUAAAGCACGUUAAGUUGGGAGGAAGGGCAGUAAGUUAAUACCUUGCUGUUUUGACGUUACCAACAGAAUAAGCACCGGCUAACUUCGUG